This 1275-nucleotide ribosomal RNA is filed under the name metagenome. RNAcentral's name for it is "bacterial LSU rRNA". It matches the Rfam family "Bacterial large subunit ribosomal RNA", at positions 1620 to 2884 of the family's 2925-position model. The record is from RNAcentral.
ACUAAGCUUCAGUCUAGAGUUGACCGUACCGCAAACCGACACAGGUGGGCAGGAUGAAAAUUCUAAGGCGCUUGAGAGAACUCAGGAGAAGGAACUCGGCAAAUUAACACCGUAACUUCGGGAGAAGGUGUGCCCCGGUAGCGUGUAGAGACUUGCUCUCGAAGCGCGAUGGGGUUGCAGUGAAAUGGUGGCUGCGACUGUUUAAUAAAAACACAGCACUCUGCAAACACGAAAGUGGACGUAUAGGGUGUGACGCCUGCCCGGUGCCGGAAGGUUAAGUGAUGGGGUGCAAGCUCUUGAUCGAAGCCCCGGUAAACGGCGGCCGUAACGAUAACGGUCCUAAGGUAGCGAAAUUCCUUGUCGGGUAAGUUCCGACCUGCACGAAUGGCGUAACGAUGGCCACACUGUCUCCUCCUGGGACUCAGCGAAGUUGAAAUGUUUGUGAAGAUGCAAUCUACCCGCGGCUAGACGGAAAGACCCCAUGAACCUUUACUGUAGCUUUGCAUUGGACUUUGAACCGGCUUGUGUAGGAUAGGUGGGAGACUGUGAAGCCGGGACGCUAGUUUCGGUGGAGUCAACCUUGAAAUACCACCCUGAUUUGUUUGAGGUUCUAACCUUGGUCCGUGAAUCCGGAUCGGGGACCGUGCAUGGUAGGCAGUUUGACUGGGGCGGUCUCCUCCCAAAAGGUAACGGAGGAGUACGAAGGUACGCUUAGGGCGGUCGGACAUCGCCCACAAAGUGCAAUGGCAAAAGCGUGCUUGACUGCGAGGCCAACGCGCCGAGCAGAGACGAAAGUCGGACUUAGUGAUCCUACGACUCCGAGUGGAAGGGUCGUAGCUUACCGGAUAAAAGCUACCCCGGGGAUAACAGGCUAGUCUUGUCCAAGAGUUCACAUCGACGACAAGGCUCGGCACCUCGAUGUCGGCUCAUCGCAUCCUGGGGCUGGAUAAGGUCCCAAGGGUUGGGCUGUUCGCCCAUUAAAGCGGUACGUGAGCUGGGUUCAGACCGUCGUGAGACAGGUCGGUCUCUAUCCGCUGUGGGCGUCGGGAGUUUGAGAGGAUCUGCCCCUAGUACGAGAGGACCGGGGUGGACGGAGCGCUUGUGUGUCGGUUGUCGUGCCAACGGCACAGCCGAGUAGCAAUCUCCGGAGCAGAUAACCGCUGAAAGCAUCUAAGUGGGAAACUGACCUCAAGAUGAGACUCCCCAUCGCGAAAGCGAGUAAGACCCCAGGUAGACGACCUGGUUGAUAGGCGGGAGGUGGAAGCGCAGCAAUGU